GCGAAUAAGACUGGUACGAUAAAACGGCAAUUGUCGCAAAGGUAAUUGUUGUAUUGCGUUAAAAGACAGUAAUAAUUUGUUCAAUAACAUAUUAAUGUAAUAUUUAAAAAGAUGAAAAGGGGAGAGACCAUUAAAAUCUUAAAACAAAUGAUCCUUCUAGUUAGUUGACGGCCCGUAAAUGUGUAUACACCACCAUAAAAUCUAAUUUCAUAUAAAUAAAAAUUUUUACGUAAAAUAGAGAACAUGUUAAAACAAAGCAAUUUUUUCGCGCGUAAUAUCGAUAUGACAUGGAAAACGUUCGUUCGAGAGUCUUGCGACGUUCCAGACAUAUCAACGGAAACGAAAGAAUAUCGAUUAGGAUUUCGAGAAAACGAGGCGAAAGAGGCUUACGAGGAAAUUAUAAACGAAGAAAGCAACGGGAAUUUGCAAUUGGAAAGACGGAGGCGUUGUAGAACUGAAAAUAAUAUAACACAGAAACCAGUUGGAAAAAUUGAAGAAAAAGUCACAGUAAAUUCCAUACUGAAAGCGGUGGAGCAAAAGGAUUUGAAAUAUUUAUUGAAACACGUAACGCAGGAAAAUGUUAAUGUAACGGAUGAUUUCGGUUGGACACCGCUGAUGUCAGCUGCGUACUGCGGCCAUUUAGAUAUUAUAAAAUUUUUAUUGAGCCUCGGAGCUAACAAGAGAGCUAGAGAAAAAUCUGGGCUCACAGCUGCGCAACUAGCUUUAAAGAAAAAUUAUUUAAACAUAGUUGCUUUGCUUAAAAGGAAAACUGAAUCUAAAGCUAGUAAAAUUUCAUCGGAAAUGAGUAUAGAUAAGUCGAGAAUAAAUAACGAUACUGUACUGCAUACGAGAUCGGAGUUGAUAGAACCUUUGAAAAAUUACAGCGGAACGAUGUAUAAAAAUAGCAAUAAUAUGGAACAGCUGAUGGAAGUUACAGGGUUUUACUGUAAAAUUUGCAAAGUUAACUUUUAUCAAACGUCUUGGAAGAAGCACGAAACAUCCACGCUUCAUAUUUUUAAUACAAAGCCAAAGCUAUCGAACGCUAUGUACGGAAUAACGAAACAGAAUAAAGGUUAUCAAAUGCUUUUGAGCACCGGAUGGGACGAGCAGGGUGGUCUGGGCCCCUCGGGGAAAGGAAUAAAAUAUCCUAUAAAAACGUGCUUAAAAAUUGAUAGAAAGGGAAUAGGCCAGCCGAGUGAAAACGAAUAUAGAGUGACUCACUUUAGACCCGGAGAUAUCGCGGCAGUUAACGAUAUGAAAAUACCUAAACAGAAAUGCCUUAAAAAGAAAGACAGGGAAAAAUUAUUAAAUAGAGAACAUAGGAAAGAAAGAACAUUACGCGUUGCUUUGUCUUAAAAUGGUGUUCGACAUUUUUAUAAAUAAUAUCAGAGUUUCCUGUAGAGAUUUAAUGCAAUGUAAUUUUACAUUCGUUAUCUAUCUUAAGUGUUUAUUGUUGCAGAUGAAGUUUGAUCAGCAGAUGGCAUUAAAACAUAUACAACAGGUAGAAGAGAAGGCAGGGGAGAUUCUCAUGAGCCGUCAAGAAGUAGUUGCUUUGGACAAAAGAAGAAACAACGACAGAGUCGGAAUG
This is an RNA transcript of Colletes gigas, 1588 nucleotides long. It is a transcript of the gene named p53 and DNA damage-regulated protein 1, with no coding region annotated. The transcript is spliced from 2 exons. NCBI's taxonomy places the organism in Eukaryota, Metazoa, Arthropoda, Insecta, Hymenoptera, Colletidae. The record is from RefSeq and is a predicted model, not a curated record.